This 468-nucleotide ribosomal RNA is filed under the name uncultured bacterium. RNAcentral describes it as "partial 16S ribosomal RNA". It matches the Rfam family "Bacterial small subunit ribosomal RNA", at positions 28 to 507 of the family's 1533-position model. The record is from RNAcentral.
GACGAACGCUGGCGGCGUGCUUAACACAUGCAAGUCGAACGGAAAGGCCCUGCUUUUGUGGGGUGCUCGAGUGGCGAACGGGUGAGUAACACGUGAGUAUCCUGUCCUUGACUUUGGGAUAACUUCAGGAAACUGGGGCUAAUACAGCAUAGGAGCUCCUGAUGCAUGGUGGGCGUUGGAAAGUUUCGGCGGUUGGGGAUAGACUCGCGGCUUAUCCGCUUGUUGGUGGGGUAGUGGCUUACGAAGGUUUAGACGGGUAGCCGGCCUGAGAGGGGGAACAGGGUCAAGAGUCCUGAGAUAGGCACCAGUCGCGUAUGGGCCGCAGCAGUCGAAAACAUGACACAGUGAGCCCAAGUGUGUGGUGGCGGUGUUCGGAGCGGAAUGACGUCCUUCGAGUUAUGAACAGCUUUGGACUGAGCCGAAGAGUGAGUGACGGUAAUGAGUCAAGAAGCAACGGCUAACUACGUG